Non-coding RNA from Mycena rebaudengoi, 89 nucleotides. Lineage: Eukaryota; Fungi; Basidiomycota; Agaricomycetes; Agaricales; Mycenaceae. The record is from the annotation of a GenBank genome assembly.
GGAUCCGUGGUGUAGCGGUUUAUCACGUUUGUCUUACAGCUUUCCAGUUGGGACACAAACGGUCGCCAGUUCGAUCCUGGCCGGGUUCA